This 27-nucleotide small RNA is filed under the name Bombyx mori (domestic silkworm). RNAcentral's name for it is "ovarian small RNA-21487". Lineage: Eukaryota; Metazoa; Arthropoda; Insecta; Lepidoptera; Bombycidae. The record is from RNAcentral.
UACUGAUUUCCUCGGUUCUAUGUGGUC